RNAcentral lists this ribosomal RNA (440 nucleotides) under uncultured bacterium. RNAcentral's name for it is "partial 16S ribosomal RNA". It matches the Rfam family "Bacterial small subunit ribosomal RNA", at positions 338 to 795 of the family's 1533-position model. The record is from RNAcentral.
CCUACGGGGGGCAGCAGUGGGGGAUAUUGCACAAUGGGGGAAACCCUGAUGCAGCGACGCCGCGUGUGGGAAGACGGUCCUCUGGAUUGUAAACCACUGUCCCCAGGGACGAAAAUGACGGUACCUGGGGAGGAAGCUCCGGCUAACUACGUGCCAGCAGCCGCGGUCAUACGUAGGGAGCGAGCGUUGUCCGGAAUUACUGGGUGUAAAGGGAGAGUAGGCGGGGAUGCAAUGUGGUGGUCAAAACUACGGGCUCAACUGGUAGUCGCACUCAAAACUGCAGAUCUUGAGUGAAGUAGAGGCAGGCGGAAUUCGUAGUGUAGCGGUGAAAUGCGUAGAUAUUAGGAGGAACACCAGUGGCGAAGGCGGCCUGCUGGGCUUUUACUGACGCUGAGGCUCGAAAGUGUGGGGAGCAAACAGGAUUAGAUACCCUAGUAGUC